AACGUGAUCAGAUUCGCGUUAUAAAAAGAUGCUUUUAUACUUCUUGAACCCCAUUAAUCAUGUUAUGAGAUUUCACUAUGUUGAAAUGUAAGUUCAUUAGCUUGCUUAUCUUUAAACACAAGGAGUCUGAACCCGUUUGAUAAAGUGUUUGAUUGAACCUUUCCUCUUCAUAAAACUGAUAUGUACGCUGUGACCAAGCUGUGAGCCAAUGCUUGUUUGUUUAAAUGAAAUACAGUAUAAUAUUUUGUAAAUAGACACAUAGUGCAAAAGUUAAUUGAAAACAAAUGUACAACAUUACACGAGGGGAAACACGUUCGAAAUCUGCCUUGAAAGAAUCCAAUCUUGUUCAUCCGGUUCUCUCGGCCGCUUUGAGCUAACAAGUCCUUAGAAAUCACGUCCUUCAGAAACCACGUCCUUCGCGACAUUUUAGAUAACCAGUAUACAUACUCCUUCGUGCAGAACAACAAUUAUUAUUCUAAAAUGUAUAAACACGUCUUUAUAUUUAUGACGAUUGGCAAUUCAAAGAAGGUCAAUGAUAAUUGCGGAUAAAUAACUAUAGUGCGUCGCAAGUUGGGACAGUGACGACGACUCUUCUAUGACGAUGACCAACGUGAGAAUUCAAAGCAGUGACGGAUUUGAUGACACACAGGGAAUACAAAUUGAAUACUUUUAUUUUUGUGGUAGUCAUAGAGUUCGGGAAUUUUGUAACGUCUCGGGACCUUUGAAGACUACAUCCAUCAGUGCAAAUGCCGCAAGUUUUCACACAUGAAUUCGUAUUGGUACAGGUAUACACAAUGGAAUGAGGAACCUUGUAUUAUUCGUGCACUUGUACGUUAAUAAUGUCUACAUGUGUUUGUUACCACACUUGUACCAUUCCAAGUAAUCUCGAUUAUCUUGUAGGCUCGUUGCACAUUUAACAGUCAGCAUGUAGUCAUCCCACUAUUAUGUCAUUCGGAUCCUACAAGAAUAGACUUAACCAACGGUUCUCGAACUACAAAUACACAUGAACUUCUAACCAGAAUUUUCAAUUAUUAUAAUACGUCGGCAAAGAUAAUUGCAAUAAGUAUGAAAUACUUUAUAGAAGAGAAUGUGAAGAAAUUUCAAGAAGGAUUUCACUCUUUACGGUUAAGAAGCGACUCUUUUGAUAAUGGUAAUUUAUGGUAUGUUCAAUCGAUAUAUCAGCUGUCGAAACGGCAAAUUUAUCGCUACUGAGCCGAAGAAUUUGCUUUAAAUAAAAUGACCUCAGGAAAAUCGUACAUGGUAAUUGGAAGAGUAUGUUCUACUUUCCAAAUCAAUUAAUCGUGCGCAAGGUAUGCCUAGAUGCUCACGGGCGUUAACCUUCUACGACUUCAAUUUACAAGUUUCCAUUACACGUUUCACGGAUCAGCUGAGCAGAAAUUACACAAACUGGGCCAAGGGUACUCAUGAUAAGUUUCGAUUGAUUUCCAAUCGAUCACACGUUACUGAUAGCAUUCUUCGAAUGUUAUACAUUCAUUUUAUCUGAUGAUGUACUAAAUGAUGUCAACACAUAAUAUUUUCUCUGACAUUACCAUUCAUGCAAAAAAAGAAACAGUUUUUAUUUCGUUUAUUCAACAAUGAAGCUGUGCAGUCAAGCCAAACAUCGUUUUUCUUCGUUCGUGAACCAUGAAACGCUAACAGUUCCCACAAAUGCAUCUUGCAGUUUGAUUUCCAUUGAAUUACACGUUAAAUUGUUCUAAAAACGUGGUUUAAAAAUCGGCUGUAUCUUUGUACAUUGAUCUAUUUACGACAAACGGUAAACUAUCUAAUGUGAGAGUUCUGAAUUGACGAAUUGCAUCCAAAUGAAAUGUGGGACGAUCACGAACAGGAAACGGAUUUGUUCUGUGAUGAAAAAGGGAAUGGAAAUCACUUCCUCUUUUCCAUCGUAACGAUCGGAUGGUCAUCCGAGAUCUAAAGGUGUGGAAUCCGUUCCGGUCGACGUCAUAGUCGCCGGAUGCUUUUCGCUGACAAACAAAUUCUGAUGAACAGCUAUCAUUUUAAAUGUUUUUACGUCAUACUAGAAACACAUACGCAUUUCUAGUUUUAGAGUAGGUCGUAUAAAUAAGUGUAAUAUAAUCACGCAAGGAAAUCGGAAGCGGAUUGUAAAAAGUAGUUCGUUGCUGGCGUUUUUGGUAUCACGGUUUCCUUGAAAUCCAUCUGCGUGAUCGCAUACGAAAGUGGAUCCUUAAUUUUUGAAAUACUUUUUAACAGAGAUCAUCAGACAUCUUGGAACUAUUAUAAUUGCUUCGUCAUUAAUAAUAAACAAGACUGGCCAGAUAUCGGGCGAAAUUAUAUUCUGUUUUUUAAGGAACAUUAUGCUCUCCAAUAACUCAUAGAAAGGUUACGAUGCACAAUACAACAAAAUUUUUCACGUGUCCGUACGAAAUAUUAUAUAUUCGGCAAACUUGAAAAUACUAAUACAAACGUGUAUUGAUUAUGAUCAAAUUAUGCAUGCAGUAUUAACUGAGUUACGGUUUGUUGUCGGUAACGGUGUCAGCGAACAGGAUGAUUAUGCGUAAAACUUUUGGCGCCCAGAUUGGCGCGAAACUGUGGCGCCGCUUAAGAAUGCAGAACUAUUGGUCUAUGGAACAAUGUUGAAGACUGAUUAAUGAGUAUCAAAUUAUGGCUGUGAAUUCCCAAGAAUCGGUAUGUCGUUUCGGAAUGGCAAUUUGUUAAGGCGGAUAAACUGAAUUUAUCAAGUGGGCGUCUACAACCUCAUCGUCGGGAUACAAUUACACGUUUUUUGCAAGAAUUCCUUGGAUGGCCUUUGAAGGUUGUCGAGGAAUAUCCGUGAAAUAAAUUAUCGUGGAAUCAAGUCAGCACAUAUACAACAAAGAUUUAUCUACCGUACGAGAAGAAUCUAUUUUCUUUUUUAUUUUUACUAAUGCGUGAAAAAAAGUUACAAAUUCCGUGAGUCGCGUGGAAGUUUUCCACUAAACAGGUUUCUAUACUAUGUAUUUACAUACGUGUUUUGUACUGUUAUCAUACGUUUAAAGUCGAGAGUACGUGACCGUAGCGUAGGUCACAAAUAAGAAGUGAAGUUCCGUCUUGUGUCGGCUAGUUUUGCAUAUGGGUGCAAUAAAUCAUGAUAAAGCAGUCGAUGUGUUGUGUCCAUUGGCGUAGCUAUAGUUUCUGUCUAUCUUUUGGACCAUCUAGUUACGCCAAUGGAUGUGGAACAUUCUCCUCAACUGUAAACAGUGAGUAAUGCUUACUAAAAAGAACAUGCAGGUGUAGUCAUUGCUAAUCUUAUAGUUGCGUCUUGAGAUUGCUGACACAAUUAACGUAACCUUAUCAAUCUUGGACAUAUGCGUAUUGGCAAGGUUAUACGCAAGGACGUCGAGUAACGCGGAGCUAUCACCUUAGUUGUACUUUGAAGUCGACAAGUGUUAAACAAAUUUAUUCGAUCGAAACUUUGUUACUCUGACGUAUAAUUUCGAAAUAUAUAUGUUUUUUGUAAAUGUUACCUUUAUAAAUAAUGCGAAUUUUUAUUAUAUUUACACGAAUUCCUUCUACAUAAAUAAAAACUGUAUAGGUUCAAUGAUUGAUAUCGCCACAGGAGAUCUUUUAAAAGCGAAAGAUACUUUAUUAACAUUUUACUUCCAACAUGAUUUAUUCACUGGCGCAUUCAACCUUCGAGGGGUCCCAGGCGUUACCCAUUUUUGGGCCCUAUUUAUACCAUAAAAGCGAAACGUGUACAUACGUUAUAUUGUAAUGUAUGUACUGCGAGUCUUAACAAAUUUGCAUAAAAAUUUAACCGAGAAGAAAGUACAUAUUUAUUGCAUAAUACGAAAAAUUAUGAGAUAGAUAUUUCGUACAGAACACACGGGGACAAAUGAUCGAUUCGCAUAUCUUUUGAAAAUGGUUGACGUAAACUAUAAAAUAUUUAUAUGCCGGACGCAAUUUAAAUACGAUUUCGAACUAGUUUAAUGAAGUCCGAAUACAGGUAAACUUCUUAAUCCCCAGGGUAUUGACGUCAAUAUGACGAAUAUUGAAAAGUUGUAAAAUGUUAAGUUGGCGCCGUUUAGUCGGACAACGGAAUCGGUUUUAUGGAUACACGAUUACGGAUUCAAAUGUUUCCGAAAAUGAUGUGAAAGAUAGGCUCGCUUCUCUGUAUUCCUUUGACGGUAAUAAAGUACGGUAAAUGUUCUUUCAUUUCAUGCCUUUUAGCAUAUACAUGCACAACAGUAAAAUGGAAAUAAUAAUAUAAUGCUAUCACAAAUGUCAAUUUUUCUAUACUUAUAAUAUUACAGUUAGCGUUGGAUUCAAAUUUUAUAAGUAUUCCGUUAUUUAGUAUGAAUGUGUUUUUAGUCGCGUAUACGUCAUAUUUAUGUAGGUAUGAAAUGUUCUAUAAUACCAUCAUAAAUAAAUAUAAUAAAAAGUAGACACAUUUGUAAAUAUAAAAAUGUAUU
Megachile rotundata (alfalfa leafcutting bee) is the source of this 4427-nucleotide long non-coding RNA. The record is from RefSeq and is a predicted model, not a curated record. NCBI's taxonomy places the organism in Eukaryota, Metazoa, Arthropoda, Insecta, Hymenoptera, Megachilidae.